RNAcentral lists this ribosomal RNA (253 nucleotides) under uncultured bacterium. RNAcentral describes it as "partial 16S ribosomal RNA". It matches the Rfam family "Bacterial small subunit ribosomal RNA", at positions 524 to 776 of the family's 1533-position model. The record is from RNAcentral.
UACGUAGGGGGCAAGCGUUGUCCGGAUUUAUUGGGCGUAAAGAGCGUGUAGGCGGCCAGAUAGGUCCGUUGUGAAAACUGGAGGCUUAACCUCCAGCUGUCGAUGGAAACCAUCUGGCUAGAGUCCGGAAGAGGAGAGUGGAAUUCCUGGUGUAGCGGUGAAAUGCGCAGAUAUCAGGAGGAACACCGAUGGCGAAGGCAGGUCUCUGGGCCAUAACUGACGCUGAGAAGCGAAAGCAUGGGGAGCGAACAGG